This is a non-coding RNA of Lolium perenne, 217 nucleotides long. The record is from RefSeq and is a predicted model, not a curated record. Lineage: Eukaryota; Viridiplantae; Streptophyta; Magnoliopsida; Poales; Poaceae.
GGGAGGGCGUGGGCUGCGACGACGCCGGGCUGCGUGACGGACCAUCCUGGGAGACUCUUUCGUCGGCUUCGAUCGGCCCGAGCUCUGCGUCGGCGCGCCGGCGCGUCGGCACUGCGGGUUCUCGACCUCUUCGCGCGAUGACGAGUGCAGGGGCAGUUCUGUCUUGGAGUUAUGUUCCAAAUCCUCAAAAUGAAAGAAAAGAAUUUAGAAGGGCAAA